Non-coding RNA from Peromyscus maniculatus bairdii (prairie deer mouse), 477 nucleotides. NCBI's taxonomy places the organism in Eukaryota, Metazoa, Chordata, Mammalia, Rodentia, Cricetidae. The record is from the annotation of a RefSeq genome assembly.
AUGGCCUGGACUUCUGUUUGGAUCACACUUCUGGCUCACUGCACAGGAGCCAUUUCACAGACUGUUGUGACUCAGGAAUCUUCACUCACCACAUCUCCUGGAGGGACAGUCACACUGACUUGUGGCUCAAGUACUGGGACUGUUACUACAAGUAACUAUGCCACCUGGGUCCAAGAAAAAUCUUACCAGAUACACACUGGUCUGAUAGGUGGCACCAACUACAGAGGCCCAGGUGUUCCUGCCCGAUUCACAGGCUCUGUGCUUGGAGACAAGGCUGCCCUCACCAUCGCAGGGGCACAGCCUGAGGAUGAGGCUGUGUAUUAUUGUGCUCUGUUGUACAGUAGCCAGUUCCUCACUGACACAUGCAGUCCCAUUGUUCACAUGAGUAGUGAACUUAACCCUGCUUUAUACUUCCUCAUUUAUCCCUAUGGUGUCAUUCUCCAGGCGGAAUAUGUCAAGCAACAAAAUAAUAUCUAG